AUUGAACGCUGGCGGCAUGCUUUACACAUGCAAGUCGAACGGUAACAGGUUAAGCUGACGAGUGGCGAACGGGUGAGUAAUGCAUCGGAACGUGCCCGAUCGUGGGGGAUAACGCAGCGAAAGCUGCGCUAAUACCGCAUACGAUCUGAGGAUGAAAGCGGGGGACCGUAAGGCCUCGCGCGAUCGGAGCGGCCGAUGUCAGAUUAGGUAGUUGGUGGGGUAAAGGCUCACCAAGCCAACGAUCUGUAGCUGGUCUGAGAGGACGACCAGCCACACUGGGACUGAGACACGGCCCAGACUCCUACGGGAGGCAGCAGUGGGGAAUUUUGGACAAUGGGCGAAAGCCUGAUCCAGCCAUGCCGCGUGCAGGAUGAAGGCCUUCGGGUUGUAAACUGCUUUUGUACGGAACGAAAAGGUUUGGGCUAAUAAGCUGAGCUCAUGGCGGUACCGUAAGAAUAAGCACCGGCUAACUACGUGCCAGCAGCCGCAGUAA
RNAcentral lists this ribosomal RNA (493 nucleotides) under uncultured bacterium. RNAcentral's name for it is "partial 16S ribosomal RNA". It matches the Rfam family "Bacterial small subunit ribosomal RNA", at positions 30 to 523 of the family's 1533-position model. The record is from RNAcentral.